UUGUGGUUUGGAGUACCAGUGGUGAUGCCCAAAGAUCAGAGCCACGCCAUUUACCUGAUGGAGCCAGACAUCAUGAGAGUUCAUAGACCAGAGUACAGGGGAUGGCUGUACCUGGACUCUGCGUAUGUGUGCUCAUUCAGGAAUGCAGACAUCCGCAUGUUUGGAGGAGUUUGUUUAGAGACAAGGUAUCAUGAAACCCCGGCUGGCUUUGCAUUACUGACCCUCUUUACUCCAUAUGCUGGGGCAGGGUUACAGGCUUGUACCACCGCACCCAGCUUUGGGAAGUACAUUUGUGAGUGAG
This is a long non-coding RNA of Mesocricetus auratus (golden hamster), 301 nucleotides long. RefSeq lists it as uncharacterized. NCBI's taxonomy places the organism in Eukaryota, Metazoa, Chordata, Mammalia, Rodentia, Cricetidae. The record is from RefSeq and is a predicted model, not a curated record. The transcript is spliced from 2 exons.